This 450-nucleotide ribosomal RNA is filed under the name uncultured Glomus. RNAcentral describes it as "SSU rRNA". It matches the Rfam family "Eukaryotic small subunit ribosomal RNA", at positions 569 to 1023 of the family's 1831-position model. Lineage: Eukaryota; Fungi; Glomeromycota; Glomeromycetes; Glomerales; Glomeraceae. The record is from RNAcentral.
AGCAGCCGCGGUAAUUCCAGCUCCAAUAGCGUAUAUUAAAGUUGUUGCAGUUAAAAAGCUCGUAGUUGAAUUUCGGGAUCAAUAUAACGGUCAUGCCGUUGGUAUGCACUGUUAUAAUUGGUUUCUCACCUUCUAAAGAACCGUAAUGCCAUUAAUUUGGUGUCACGGGGAAUUAGGACUGUUACCUUGAAAAAUUAGAGUGUUUAAAGCAGGCUCACGCUUGAAUACAUUAGCAUGGAAUAAUGAAAUAGGACAUCCGAUUCUAUUUUGUUGGUUUCUAGGAUCGAUGUAAUGAUUAAUAGGGAUAGUUGGGGGCAUUAGUAUUCAAUUGUCAGAGGUGAAAUUCUUGGAUUUAUCGAAGACUAACUACUGCGAAAGCAUUUGCCAAGGAUGUUUUCAUUAAUCAAGAACGAAAGUUAGGGGAUCGAAGACGAUCAGAUACCGUCGUAG